This is a non-coding RNA of Onychomys torridus (southern grasshopper mouse), 381 nucleotides long. Lineage: Eukaryota; Metazoa; Chordata; Mammalia; Rodentia; Cricetidae. The record is from the annotation of a RefSeq genome assembly.
AUGGGGUCAGCUGCUCCUCUCCUGCUGUGGGUACUGCUGCUCUGGGUUUCAGGUUCCACUGGGGACAUUGUGAUGACUCAGUCUCCAGCUUCUUUGGCUGUAUCUCUAGGGCAAAGUGCCACUAUCUCCUGCAGGUCCAGCCAGGGUAUCAUUACAGCCGGUAUUCAUCUUAUGAACUGGUAUCAACAGAAACUGGGACAGUCCCCCAAACUCUUUAUUUAUGAUGCAUCUAAGGUAGCAUCUGGAGUCCCUGCCAGGUUCAGCGGCAGUGGGUCUGGGACAGACUUCACACUCACCAUUAAUCCUGUGGAGGAUGAUGAUGUUGCAACCUAUUACUGUCAGCAAGGUCUAGAACUUCCUCUCACAGUGCUCCAGGGCUAA